AUAUUCCAAAUUAUAGACGCCAACUGUGAGUUGAGGUUUAAUGCAUAGGUAACGGCAAGUCCAGCAAUGCCUGCAUAUACAAUAUGUAAGUAUGAAAUAUAGAGAACAUAGGGUGACCAAAGGCUUCCAUAAUCACCAAGAGCCUAAGUGCAUCUUAAAGCUUACUUGGAUUUAUAAAACCUUCAGGAAGGCUCACUAGCAGGGUCAAAGAGAAGGCAAAGACAAAGUUGGAUAGCAUGUUUAGCCUGAAAGAAAGCCACUCCAUUGAAGAAAUGUUAUGGAACCAUGGUCGGGAAUGGUUGUUGACAAGUCCAAGGAUGGGAGCUCUUUGGAUUUGUGAUAAACGAGCCAAUUCUCUUGCUGUUGGUAUGUAAUAUCGCUGCACAUUACACAUAGUAUAUGAAUUAAGAAUUUUGUGAAUGUUACUAUAAUUUAUGAAGAAAUGUGUUCUUAGCUUCUUGGAAGUCAUUGUGGCACACGAAGUAGCUUCUGCACAUGGUACUAUGGUAGUACAAAAGGCUAGUUAUAAACUAAAAUUCUUUGUUGGGAGUUCAUACCUGACACAUAAAGCAGACCACUGUUACUGGUACAAAGAUGGCAAAAACUGGCCAGGCAACCUGGGACAUAACACCAAUGGUCCCUAGAAUCUGUAUGACUGAAAAUACACACCAGCCAAGCUUGUUCGCUAUUUCCAGAUCUAGAACACUUUGGUCAUUAGAGGCCUGUUAAGAAUAAAUAUGCACCUGUUAGUUUAUGAGUGGUGAGGAUAUAGUAAAAAAUGGUCAACAAACUAAAUCAGUCUUAACCCUGUUCAGAAUUCUUCCAGUAGGCGUGGAGUCAAAGAAGGACAUCGGGGCUCGCAUGAUGCAUUGGAGCAUGUUUUUGAAGAACUUUUCUGAUGUUAGUAGCCCAAUUAGUGAAACAAGCAUGGACCGAGCGAAGACACACAAGGCACUUCCAAUUGACAAUGUUAUGUAUACAGCAAACAUAAGGCCUAAUCCGACCGUUGGCUUGGUUGCUGAUGUUGCAGGAGAUGCCCAUGCCAUCCAAUAAUUGCUUGCUACCUGAAAUAUUUGGAAGAAGGACUGUGCUGCAAUUGUGACUGGCACUAAGGCACCUCCAUAAACUGUCCUCAGUGGAUGUCAAUCUGCUAGAACUCUCGGCAUUUAUGACAGACUCAAGAGCCUGGCUG
Oryza brachyantha (malo sina) is the source of this 1192-nucleotide long non-coding RNA. RefSeq lists it as uncharacterized. Lineage: Eukaryota; Viridiplantae; Streptophyta; Magnoliopsida; Poales; Poaceae. The record is from RefSeq and is a predicted model, not a curated record. The transcript is spliced from 3 exons.